RNAcentral lists this ribosomal RNA (322 nucleotides) under uncultured eukaryote. Its description in RNAcentral is "partial 18S ribosomal RNA". It matches the Rfam family "Eukaryotic small subunit ribosomal RNA", at positions 1470 to 1796 of the family's 1831-position model. The record is from RNAcentral.
CCCUUAGAGGUUCUGGGCCGCACGCGUGCUACACUGAGUGGAUCAGCGGGUCAGGUUGCGCGAAAGCGUUUCCUAAUCUUUAAAUCCGCUCGUGAUGGGGAUUGACGGUUGCAAUUUUCUGUCAUGAACGAGGAAUACCUUGUAAGCGCGGGUCAUCAUCCCGCGCUGAAUACGUCCCUGCCCUUUGUACACACCGCCCGUCGCUCCUACCGAUUGAGUGGUCCGGUGAGGCUUUGGGAUCUGAGCGGAAAGAGCGUUUCGCUGUUUCUGCUCGGAAAACUCAGUCGAACCUUAUCAUUUAGAGGAAGGAGAAGUCGUAACA